GCUUAAGUUUGAACAGUCAUCUGUAGAGGGCUGCUGCUUUCUGGGGAAGGUGCUGAGGUUCUGCAGCAGGUCUGCAGGUGCCUUGUGCCCUGGUGCCUGGCUCUGCACGUUAGGCACAAACUUUGUUGCAUAAACCAUCAGGGUUUCAUUGAUUUCCUCCCUAAUCUCCCACCUGCACAUCUCCAGCAGAUUUUGUUCUUUAACCCAGAGCUUCCGUUGCAAUUUCAGGCUUCUCUUAUGGAUGGUCAAAUGUGUUGUGUAGUUUCAUUUUGUUUGCAAAGAUGUGACGUGUGAGAAGUUUGAGGGCUUAUUGACACUCCUGCAGUUAGAAGAACUUCACUGUAAGAAGGUGUUGAGUCCCAAAUCCACAUCCAGAACUGCAGAUAUUUUGAUUCACUGAUUUGUGUGUACUGAUGGGUGGGGGAGGAUGAAGAAAUCCCUUCACCUCCUGAAGGGAUUUUUGAUGCUGAAGAAUGUAAAGAAAUCAAUGCUCCAGGCUCUUCCAGCUCCUGGUGUCUGAGAAGUUGCAUGACUUUGCAUUUGUUGAAUAGCUGUAGUUACAGCUCAAAAGCCCUGCUUUCCUAUGCAAUCUCUGUUCUGUUCCUCCUUCCCUGUACCACACAGGGAGGUUCAGUGUGGGCUUUUGGUUAUGCCUGCGUGAAACAGAUCUUAAAGCCUGAAGCAGGGCAGCAAAAGAGUUAAGCAGGAGGGGAAAGGAACAGUCCCAGUAGCUUUGAAUUGUUCAUCUAAUAGGGUCUAGGUUUAAGUCUCCCAGAACGAAGCAAAGCAGCUCUUUCUGAUUUUUUUUUUUUCAGCCCCUUCUCCAUCCAGUUAUGAAAAAAGUAAAUCACCACUCCUGGGCUGAGGUAUAAAAUAAACAAGACUUUGUUCUGAAGAGUUUAUAUGUCUAUACCUGGCAAGGGGAGGAACAGGAUGGAAGGAAGCUGCUUUCACACAGACAUCAUCUGAUGGUUUUCCCUGUUUGAAGAGACUUUGAAAGUAUCUUCUGAUCAAAUAACGUGACAGCCUUAUUUUUAUGGCCAUAAUAAAGAUGGACCCUGUUUGUGGCUGACCUGGCCUGAGUAUUGUGCAAUAAAACAC
This is a long non-coding RNA of Gallus gallus (chicken), 1101 nucleotides long. The record is from Ensembl. NCBI's taxonomy places the organism in Eukaryota, Metazoa, Chordata, Aves, Galliformes, Phasianidae.